This 254-nucleotide ribosomal RNA is filed under the name uncultured bacterium. Its description in RNAcentral is "partial 16S ribosomal RNA". It matches the Rfam family "Bacterial small subunit ribosomal RNA", at positions 524 to 776 of the family's 1533-position model. The record is from RNAcentral.
UACGUAGGUGGCAAGCGUUGUCCGGAAUUAUUGGGCGUAAAGAGCUCGUAGGCGGUCUGUCGCGUCGGUCGUGAAAACCUGCAGCUUAACUGUGGGCGUGCGGUCGAUACGGGCAUGACUGGAGUUCGGCAGGGGAGACUGGAAUUCCUGGUGUAGCGGUGAAAUGCGCAGAUAUCAGGAGGAACACCGGUGGCGAAGGCGGGUCUCUGGGCCGAUACUGACGCUGAGGAGCGAAAGCGUGGGGAGCGAACAGG